Molecule: long non-coding RNA, 1160 nt
Organism: Dreissena polymorpha
Lineage: Eukaryota; Metazoa; Mollusca; Bivalvia; Myida; Dreissenidae
Exons: 4
Source: RefSeq, a predicted model, not a curated record
UGUCGAAAUUGGUCUAUAGCUCUGCCUGAACUGCUGUCCAAUUGGUUUACAAGUCCGGCUGAAGUGACAGGCCAUCAAAAACUGCACAGUAUGACUGAUUCGGAGACGGCCCUCAACACUCGCCCAGUCGUGUCGAGAGGAUCGGUGUCUUUGCAGAUUACACGGAAUUGAGCACCCGGGCCAGACUGACACUUUCCGGAGCCUGUCCGAGACAGAACUCGAGCCGAGGAAUCAUAGGUCCAGGUGGUGUCGAAAUUGGUCUAUAGCUCUGCCUGAACUGCUGUCCAAUUGGUUUACAAGUCCGGCUGAAGUGACAGGCCAUCAAAAACUGCACAGUAUGACUGAUUCGGAGACGGCCCUCAACACUCGCCCAGUCGUGUCGAGAGGAUCGGUGUCUUUGCAGAUUACACGGAAUUGAGCACCCGGGCCAGACUGACACUUUCCGGAGCCUGUCCGAGACGGAAAUCGAGCCGAGGAAUCAUAGGUCCAGGUGUGACAGAAAACUUAAAGCUCAUGUCUGACGAUGACUUUUUUUGUGUCAGGAAGUAAAGUGUGUUGUUUUCCCAUGCAAGCAAGCCCUUUUGUUGGGUCAAAUGACAUCAGAAAUGCUGCUUCUACAUGGAUUUUACCUAAAAUGUGCCAAAAAAUAUAUAAAAAGUUUGUUCGGAUCUUGUUCAAAACCUGCUAUGAUGCACAUAUAAUGCCAUUGAUGAUUUGUUUUCACUUAUUAAGUCAUAUGUUACAUCUGCUAUGCUAUUAGAAUCGAAGUGAUGCCUUGUAUGGAGUCUAAGUGCUGUAUGUAUGAUGUAACCAAGGUCGGCUUUUCUACCUUAAUUCUUGACGCGAAACGCUGUUACGCGUGACGCUUUCAACGUCAACUUUAAUGAAUAAAUCUGUGUGUCAUGGUACUGGAACUUUGUGAUCUUUUUUAAAACAGAUUAUACCUAUGGAAAAAGUGCCUUUAAUUCAAAUUUGAAGGGGUUGGGUUCCCUUAUAGGUUACAUUAUCCUAAACGGAAGUGGAAUUUGGGGGGUUACAUGCAGUCGGUUUGCUACUAAGUACAUAUGAUGCAGGUCCUGGUGCAUAAGAUUUUAAAAAUGUAUCUGAAAUGAAGAGUUUAGGUGUCAGUUUAAAGGUACAUGUGUAAGUCACAGGGCAAA